UAGUAAUGGCGAAUGAAAAGAGAUGUGCUUAGUGUCGAAAUCAGGUUGCCCUGACUUGUAGGCUGUAGGUGCUAUGCCAACUUGGGUGCAGGUGCAAGUCUCUUGGAAAGGAGCACCAGUGAGGGUCAGGGUCCCGCCUGUCAUCUGUCAUCCCUUGUAUACGGUUUGCUCAUGGAGAGUCGUGUUCUUCUGGAAUAGAGCGCAAAGUGGGUGGUACUCUGUGCCCAAGGAGCAUUACGUGCUUGAGACCAAUAGUGAACAAGUACCAUGAGGGAAGGGUGAAAAGGACUUUGGAAAGAGGGUAAAGAGAGCGUGAAGCUGCUGGAAGGGAAGUGGAUUGGACUUUUAUUGUGGCAAGAUUGCACGCUGUCGUCCUCAUCUCUGGGGAACUGCAGAGUGUGUCUCUUGCUUCUUGGUUUUGCCUCAUGUUGCGCUGGGAAACCUGGUGUGGACUGGCUGAAGGAUUGCGAUCUGGACCAUGUCCUUGCACUUGCCUGGCGCAGCAUUUGCUUGACCAAAUAGUUCAAUUUUACCCGUCUUGAAACACGGACCAAGGAGUCUAAUGCGUGUGCAAGUGUGAGGGAAACACACCUGACAGCUCAACAAAGGUGACUGCUGGGAUCCUUGCACCAGCAUCCAACUGAUCGCUUAGGAGAUGUUUGUGUAUGAGCACACUUGCUAGGACCCGAAAGGUGGUGAACUAUGCCUGAGAAGGGUGACGUCAGGGGAAACUCUGAUGGAAGCUCGUAGCGCUACUGACGUGCAAAUCGUUCGUCUGACUUGGGUAUAGGGGCGAAAGACUAAUCGAACCAUCUAGUAGCUGGUUCCCUCCGAAGUUUCCCUCAGGAUAGCUGGAGCAGAACAGUUUUAUCAGGUAAAGCGAAUGAUUCGAGGCAUUGGGGGUAUGUUACCCUUGACCCACUCUCAAACUUUAAAUGGGUAAGCUCCACUGGUUGCCUAGGUGAUACAGGGGGUGGAAUAACAGCUCUAAGUGGGCCAUUUUUGGUAAGCAGAACUGGCGAUGAGGGAUGAACCUAGCAUUGGGGAAAAGUGCUUGACUGCUCGCUCAUGUGACACC
Molecule: ribosomal RNA, 1078 nt
Filed under: Amphidinium sp.
Lineage: Eukaryota; Dinophyceae; Amphidiniales; Amphidiniaceae
Description: eukaryotic LSU rRNA
Rfam family: Eukaryotic large subunit ribosomal RNA
Source: RNAcentral